Molecule: unclassified non-coding RNA, 3106 nt
Filed under: Hevea brasiliensis (rubber tree)
Lineage: Eukaryota; Viridiplantae; Streptophyta; Magnoliopsida; Malpighiales; Euphorbiaceae
Source: RNAcentral
AGAAAACAGACUUAACUAAUUAAAAAUUACUAAAUUUAUUAUUAGAACAUAGAAAGUCUUGUUUUCAAAGAGGGAGGUAGCAAGCCCAUGAUUCCUUAUUCCUGAAAUUGGUUCCUGGUUUUUUGCUGUCUUCUCUGCAAUAAGAAGAUGAGGUGCCUAAACAUGACUAGAGCAAGGAUAUGACAAAUGAAAGAAGCUGCAAUGAAUGCUAAUAAAGAUGCUACAAAGAAUGUUGAUGCCAUGGGCCACAAUGGCUCUUGUAACUUUAAUUUCAUGUUUUUCAACAAAUAAAGCAACUGCUAGUCUAGCGAUUGCAAAACCUAACUGCCCCAAUAUAUGUGGGAAUGUGAGUGUUCCUUACCCUUUCGGGAUUGGUGAUCCAAAUUGUGCAUUUAGCUCCGACUUUUUACUCCACUGCAACAAUACUAGUGGUUUUGCAUAUCUAUAUCUGGGUAAUAUACCCAUUCUCAAAUUCUUUCAAGAUGAAGCUGCAAUGAUCAUUAGUGUAGAAUCAGGAUAUGACUGUUAUAGCUAUGGCGAGCUGGUUUCUUCCCAUGGUAACAUUAUCACAUUAGGGUCACACAACCUCUUCACGUUUUCAUACACACGAAACAAGCUUGUGGGUCUUGGUUGUGAUACUUUAGCUCUUAUUUCAGAGUUAAAUAGUGAUCGUGCUACUAGAAUCAGUUGUACCUCAUUUUGUGAUGGAGCAAUGAACACAGCGAAGGAUGUUAAUUCUUGCUCUGGAGCUGGAUGUUGCCAAACCUCAAUUCCAGAUGGACUUCAAAGUUUUGAAAUCGGAAUUGGGAGUAUGUCAAAUUAUAGUAAGAAGUUGAGCAGCAUUUGCAACUAUGCCUUGUUGAUUGAUCACCUAGAUCCAAGUUUGGGUAGCAUUUUAAAAACCAAUCUCAAUCAUCACCCAGCCAACACUACCAUCAAAACGCAUGUAGUGGUUGACUGGGUCAUAGACAACAAGACAUGUGUAGCUGCUAGUACAGAGUCAUCUCUUUAUGCUUGUGGCCUUAACACUUUAUGCAUUGACUAUAACUCUGGAUAUCGUUGCGUAUGCAAAGAAGGGUUCCAAGGGAACCCUUAUCUUCAAGGGUGUGAAGGUAUGUUUCUCUUCUGCCAGAGCAUUGGUUUGAGUAUGUUUAUAUUAUACUACCAUUUUUAGUAAAAGACUAAUGAUAAAAAGGUAAAAUAUUUUUGUGUUUUUUCAAUUUUAUCAUAAUUAUCAAAAGUUAUUGCAAUUGUAUUUAUUUGUCAAUUAAAGUUUUAAUUUUAUUUCUUGAUUGACGCACAACCACUCCCAAGAAUGCAUCUCCAUUACUAAUAACACCUUCUAAGUUUCAUUUUGACAGUUAUUAAUUAUAAAAUAGUAAUAAAACUUAAUGGUAGUAAAGAGAGAAACUGGAUAAACAAAAUCGCCUGAUUGAGGAUUUAUUUUUAUAAUUAGGCUUUAGAUUUAUAAUUUAAAUAUAUUAUAUAAUAAUUUAACCUAUCAAUUUGAUAACCUAAUAUUUAAGCUUGUGAUAUAUUUUCAGAUAUUAAUGAGUGUCUUUCUCCGCAAAUUUAUCCAUGUGAUGGGUCUUGUACCAACACAGAGGGAAAUUACGCUUGUCGUUGCCCACCAUUCAUGCACGGAGAUGGUAAACUGAGUUGCAAAGGAAUUCGCAUAGCCACCCUGGCUGCUGGUAUAAGCUCAGGCUUUGGAUUGAUAUUGUUAUUUGUUGCAUUCUACGUUCUGCACAAAUAUAUGAGGAAAAAGCGUCAAAUUAGAUGUAGAAAGAUAAUUUUUAAGAAAAAUGGUGGCUUGCUAUUAGAACAGCAAAUCUCUUCAAGAAAUGAAGGGAAACUUGACAGGGCAAGGAUUUUCACUGCAGAAGAAUUGGAGAAAGCCACCGACUCAUACAAUGAGAACCGAAUUCUAGGGCGAGGAGGACAGGGCACUGUUUACAAAGGAAUGCUAACAGAUGGAACUGUUGUAGCUGUGAAAAAAUCAGGAAAGAUGGAUCAAGAUCAAAGCCAAACUGUGCACUUCAUAAAUGAACUUGUGAUUCUUUCUCAGAUUAAUCACAAGCAUGUGGUCAAACUAUUAGGCUGUUGUUUAGAAACCCAAGUUCCUCUUAUAGUAUAUGAAUUUAUUUCCAACGGCACACUAUGGAGUCACCUCCAUGAUCAUUCAGAGGAAGAAUUUCUUCCUCUUCGAUGGUCUGAUCGCUUAAGGAUUGCUAGAGAAGUUGCUAUGGCGUUAGCCUACAUGCAUUCUUCUGCUUCUAUACCAAUUUAUCAUCGAGAUAUCAAGUCUAGCAACAUUCUAUUGGAUGAAAAACUUAGAGCAAAGGUAUCAGAUUUUGGGAUUUCAAGAUCAGUUCCAGGUGAAAAGACUCACUUGACCACUUUAGUUCAAGGUACCUUUGGAUACUUGGAUCCUGAAUAUUUUCAAUCAAACCAGUAUACAGACAAAAGUGAUGUGUAUAGUUAUGGGGUAGUUCUUGUUGAGCUUCUGACGAGGCAAAAGCCAAUUCCCAGUACUAUUAUAGAAGGAGAGAGGGGUUUAGCUGCUGAGUUCAUGUCAGCUAUAGAAGAGAAUCGUCUCUAUGAUGUUGUUGACCCUCAAGUUUUGGCUGAGGGAGAAGAAAGGGAGUUGAUUGUAGUUGCCAACCUUGCAAAAGAAUGCUUAAGAUUAAAUGGGAAGAGACGACCAACAAUGCCAGAUGUUGUAUUGGAGUUGGAGAAUUUGGAAAGAUCUCAAAACCAUCUACCUCCUAAGCACAACAGUUUUUGGAAUGAGGAUUACAUAGAAACAUCAAGAAAAUGGGAUGCUAAUUCAACACAAAAUGAAAUUAGAGGAUUCAUGAUGAUGAGCAGAAAAGAAUUAGAUCAAUUACCAUUACUUGAGGAUGAUGAUGAUGAUGUCUCCAAUGAGUCCUAUCAGCAUAUUACUACAUAAAUUGGAUUGUUGUUAGAAGAUUGAUAAUCUUUUCAUCCUUAAUUAAGAGGAACUUAUGUGUAGUGCCAUAAUUGGAUUAGAUGAUUGAUAAUCUAAUACCUCAAUACUAGAAUUAAUCUUGACUUUGACCAUCUUACAUGAUUGGAAGACAAA